Molecule: ribosomal RNA, 253 nt
Filed under: uncultured bacterium
Lineage: Bacteria
Description: partial 16S ribosomal RNA
Rfam family: Bacterial small subunit ribosomal RNA
Source: RNAcentral
UACGGAGGAUCCAAGCGUUAUCCGGAAUCAUUGGGUUUAAAGGGUCCGUAGGCGGUUUGGUAAGUCAGUGGUGAAAGCCCAUCGCUCAACGGUGGAACGGCCAUUGAUACUGCCAGACUUGAAUUAUUAGGAAGUAACUAGAAUAUGUAGUGUAGCGGUGAAAUGCUUAGAGAUUACAUGGAAUACCAAUUGCGAAGGCAGGUUACUACUAAUGGAUUGACGCUGAUGGACGAAAGCGUGGGUAGCGAACAAG